AGCGAACGCUGGCGGCAGGCUUAACACAUGCAAGUCGAACGGGCAUAGCAAUAUGUCAGUGGCAGACGGGUGAGUAACGCGUGGGAACGCACCUUUUGGUUCGGAACAACACAGGGAAACUUGUGCUAAUACCGGAUAAGCCCUUACGGGGAAAGAUUUAUCGCCGAAAGAUCGGCCCGCGUCUGAUUAGCUAGUUGGUAGGGUAAUGGCCUACCAAGGCGACGAUCAGUAGCUGGUCUGAGAGGAUGAUCAGCCACAUUGGGACUGAGACACGGCCCAAACUCCUACGGGAGGCAGCAGUGGGGAAUAUUGGACAAUGGGCGAAAGCCUGAUCCAGCCAUGCCGCGUGAGUGAUGAAGGCCCUAGGGUUGUAAAGCUCUUUUGUGCGGGAAGAUAAUGACGGUACCGCAAGAAUAAGCCCCGGCUAACUUCGUG
RNAcentral lists this ribosomal RNA (435 nucleotides) under uncultured bacterium. RNAcentral's name for it is "partial 16S ribosomal RNA". It matches the Rfam family "Bacterial small subunit ribosomal RNA", at positions 29 to 507 of the family's 1533-position model. The record is from RNAcentral.